RNAcentral lists this ribosomal RNA (408 nucleotides) under Euseius ovalis. Its description in RNAcentral is "partial 12S ribosomal RNA". The record is from RNAcentral. Lineage: Eukaryota; Metazoa; Arthropoda; Arachnida; Mesostigmata; Phytoseiidae.
UAAACUAGGAUUAGAUACCCUAUUAGAAUUAAUAAAAAUUUAGUAGUAAUUGAUUAGCAUGAAACUAAAAUUAAUUGGCGGUAAUUUAAAUUUAUUAGAGGAAUUUAUUCUUUAAAGGAUUAGACACCAAAAUCUUACUUUUAUUUGUUAAUCAGUUUGUAUAUCUCUAUUUAAAAAUAUUUAAAGAUAUUUUAUAAAUUUAUAAAACUUAAUUUUAGGUAAAGGUGCAGCUUAUGUAAAAGAUUGAAAUAAAUUAUAUUAAUUCAUAUUUAACAAUAUUUAAUAAGUAUAUAUUUUGUAUAGUAAAAUUUAAAAGUAAAAUUGAUAGAAUUUAUUAAUUUGAAUAAGAUUUUAGUUGUGUACAUAUUGCCCGUCACUCUCCUUAGGAGAUAAGUCGUAACAUAGUAA